This 75-nucleotide transfer RNA is filed under the name Clostridiaceae bacterium. RNAcentral describes it as "tRNA-Arg". It matches the Rfam family "tRNA". Rfam says of the family: Transfer RNA (tRNA) molecules are approximately 80 nucleotides in length. Their secondary structure includes four short double-helical elements and three loops (D, anti-codon, and T loops). The record is from RNAcentral. Lineage: Bacteria; Bacillati; Bacillota; Clostridia; Eubacteriales; Clostridiaceae. RNAcentral also lists the same sequence under 1 other name.
GUCCCGGUGGUCUAAUGGAUAAGAUAAUGGAUUCCGGUUCCAUUGAUAGGGGUUCGAUUCCUCUCCGGGGCACCA